UAAAUACUCACUGUGGGGAAUAUUCACACACAAUAUAUUGCAUAUAUAGUGAAUUACAAUAAUCCUUUAAGUGGGGGACCCCACUCUUACACAGUCUAAUAAUGAUCAAAUCAACCCAAAUAUAUUAGUUCAAAUCACACCUUAAGAGCUAUUCACUUUCCAAAGCAAUAUGACAAAAUAUAUUUUUAUUCGAACAAUUAUUAUGGUCACAAAGUACAACAUGGCAAUGGUACUAGGAUGAAGUGAAGUGAGAGAGAGAGAGAGAGAUUUCAAUAGUGAAAGCCAUUACUGCUUUCCUAACCCACAAAAAGUUGAAGAGGGUAUCACUUCCUUGUGAAGUAUGAUUAGUACCAAUACUUCAUUUUCCUAUCAAAGAUGCCUGGUCCAUAUGUGGAUACAAAUAUCUCAACAAGCAGGGGAAAUUGCAACAGUAUGAAAAGGGUGACUGGAAUACUAGCCAAUAGAGUAAUUGGAAUUACAAGUUUCAUCUCUCCCUUCAACAUUAUUAUAAGAGUAGCACAAAAUGCUACCAUCAUGGCUGCAAUUGAAAUGAAAAGAGUGGAAAGACCAAUGAUUAACUUUGUGGGCAAGGACUUGAUGAAGUCAUCCUCUGCAUAGCGUGAUGUAAGGACUCCUAAGAACAUCCAUACUGAUGUAGAGGAAGCAAAGAGUGAAAUUGCAUCGGAUAUUAUAAAAACCAUAAAUGACUUUUUAUGUAAAAAUAGUGGAAAGCCUGUAUCUUGAACGUUACCACCAGGAACGGUAAAUGCUGCAGUAAACAUAAUGGUAAUUAUAAGAGCACCUACAACUGUACAAGAUGUUGCUGUCUCCUUCAUCCAUUGCUCCCCAUCACUCACCAACUGCUUGUGGGUAUCAGAAAAUAUUUGGCUAGGCUUUUCAUUGGAGCUGUUGGUAUAUUCCUUAGACAACGGAUUCACAAUACUUUCCACUUCCUUGUACCACUGUAGCUCUCUUUGCAUCUGUAGAACUGCACCUGAAAUGUGUGCAAGUCGAUCAGGAGUAGCUAAUUUUGCUGCAAUGUGUAAGAUGUUAUUUUUCCACUCAUCAAUUCCAGAAAUCAGCAUGUACUUCCUUGUGUCAAGCACAUAUAUAAGGCUGAAAAUUUUUUCUUGCCGAUGUUGAACAGCAGACUGAAGGAUGCCUCUGCGAUUAGUGUUUAGAACAGUUAAAAGAUUGGGAUUGGCUUUAAGCAUCUCAAUAACAACUUCAAUGAUCCCAUUGUCGAUAGCUGUAAGGAAUGCUUGAUACAAUCCGCUUUCAUUGAUUCUGGUGUCAUCUAUAGUUGAUAUAUCUUCGGACAUCCAAUGUAAAAUUUCAAGAGCAUAGGCAUGGGUCAACUUUGUAUCAUAAAUCUGCUUUAGUCCUUCAUUAAUAAGUAAGAUGAAGCUAAAUGUGAGAAGCCUUUAAAAACCAAUUAAAAAUUGAAGGUAAAUAAAAUAAAAAGGGAAUGAGAGUCUGAAAUUGAAUAUAGGGUACCAAACAAUUGAAAUAAAUUUGAACCAAGUGUUCGCAAUGGACCUAGCCCUGCAAAAUUAAAUCAAUUCACUGUGAAUAACAAAAAUGAUCCAAGUGAAGGUCCCCAGAUCAUCUCCCAAUUAUUUUCAUUUUUAUACAUGUACAAAAAGAAAAAGGAGUUAAACAAAAUAUCUAGCUGAACAUGGCUUCGGAUUGCAUAUGAUAUAAGUCCCUUAAAUGCGUAACAUUAUGCCAUACGUCUCUCUUUUCAGAGUGUUUGUGAGAGAUAACCGAGAAGCAUACCUCGUGCUAAAGUGCUCCUAGGAUGCAUGUGGCCAUUUUGUGGAAUGCGUAUUCGAACAUCACUGUCCUGGGCAGUAGGUAGUUGCAUCUGAAUACAAGAAUAAAUCCAUCGUUUCCAAAACACAAAUCGGAGUCCACUGGGGAAUAAAUCCCUUAAAGCAGAGAUUUGAAUCAGAGGUGUGGUUUCCAGAUAGUUUGGUGUCGUUGCCAAUCGUGGGCAUCUCCGGAGAAGAUGUAGGGAAAUGUCAUACAUUUCACUAAAUAUGGACACAUGAAGAAGCAAAGAUCCAUAUGCUCCAUUUUCUUGGAGCAGUAAGUCAAAUGGAGUGAUGGAGUAUAGAUAUCUGGCCAUAUCCUUAUGGCGGCAGGUACAUGCCAUUAUGACUGGGAGGUGGUGAUCUUUUCCGGGAAUGCUAACCAACUCACUGUUCUUUUUUAUCAUGCAUUCUGCAAUUCUUGUGGCUCCAGUAGCAGCAGCCAGUAAAAGAGCUGUACCACCAAGGUUGUCAGUUACUUUUAACUCUUCUACUGUCAACAACUUGACUAACUCCUCCACCAUCUUCAAUUUUCCGGUUGAAGUUGCAAGAUGAAGUGCCGUAAAACCAUUAUCUAUAAGCUUUUUGCAUACUGCAUCUGGACGACGGCGAAGGAAUUCUCUCACAGCAUUUAAAUCACCUCUCUCUAUAGCUUUGCAUAGAGGACGAAAUUGAACAUAAACAUCACCCUCUGUCCCUUGUGGCUUUGUUUGAUCUCCUGAUGAGUUUUUGGCCAAAACAUUCCACCAAAUCCUUGCUGUGUUUACUACAAUCCUCAAUCUGUCAAUUAUUUUUAAUGAUGACAUGAGGCUUAACAAUUAAUAUAUAUGAUAUGACAAGUGAAAGUGAUCUUACUAUGUGUAAUACUCCACUAGAACGAUUAAUCAUUUAUACAAAAUAGAAAGAAAAAGGAAAAGAAAAUUUCAGCAUGGGAACCCAGAUUGUCUUUUCACUCUCGCUCUUUUUGUAUGGC
This 2787-nucleotide unclassified non-coding RNA is filed under the name Hevea brasiliensis (rubber tree). The record is from RNAcentral. Lineage: Eukaryota; Viridiplantae; Streptophyta; Magnoliopsida; Malpighiales; Euphorbiaceae.